RNAcentral lists this long non-coding RNA (1409 nucleotides) under Capsicum annuum. Its description in RNAcentral is "long non-coding RNA (CANN_LNC003129)". Lineage: Eukaryota; Viridiplantae; Streptophyta; Magnoliopsida; Solanales; Solanaceae. The record is from RNAcentral.
AUUUGAGUUAUUGUGUUUUGUGUGGGGUCGCUGCCAGGUACCAUAUCUUGGGGUUUAGUAGAUACUUUUUUAGUACAUAGAGAUGGUAUGGCCUAGCAUACCACAUCCCUUACAUAGAAUAUCUGCUCCAUCGAAGACAAUUUGUUGUUUUAGUUGGCCUAUGUGAAUAUGGGUUUUCACUGGGACUCCAAGGGGAACUUCAAUACAUAUUCUAGCGUAUCUACCUCGUAAAGUAGCAGAGGUGCAGAUAUUAGUCUCGACGAGUUUUUCAAGUUUACUCCCAAUCUUAGAUAGAACUAAAUGGUCGUAGUAUUCAGUGGGAAGUUCCAGCAAUCUAAUCCAUAUUGCGGAAUGGUGCUCCGUCGCUUCAGAGGCUACAAAGUUUGGGUGCCAUCUCUUUACGGACAGGAAGAAAAGCGUGGUCUUCAUAUUAUCCUCUUUGAGUAAUUUUACCGUAUAGUAAUGAGAUCCUAGAUUUAUUAGUACAAGGUCUUCAGUUGGCUUCCAUAAUUGUACUAGGCGCUUCUUUAAAUAUUCAUGACUGACUUUUUUGGUGGCUAAUUUUAUAAUAACGGAGUACAACCAUGAUCUGUAUAUGCCUUCUUUGUCCUCUUUGACAUUGCAAUUUGAUCCUCCCCAAGAUCUGUGUUUAUUUCUGUGUCCAUGUUUGUAUCCUGAGGGCCUGGGUUAUCAAUUACUUGGUCAAAAUUGGACAAAACAGGCUGCUCGUCAGUCGAAGGCACCGUCUUAGUUAGGGCGGCUUUGUAGUUGAUAGGGUUUGUUACCUGAUAAACGUCUUCCAUCAUGUUUUCAAGUGGGUCAAGUGGUACAUCGGCCAUAACCAGAAUGUGGGCGGAGUAGUAUAGAGAGAAGUCAGAGAAAAUCUUUCUAGAGAGAGAAACUCAUUUAGAAGUUUUGGAAAGAAAAUUGAUAUUAUAGACUUGAAAUUGUAUGUAAAAAUUUGUCUGAAUUUAUUUAGAAUUGAUCUUUCGAACUCGCUCAGAUCCUACACUCUCCUUUUGCCCUUAUUCUCUAGUGACACAAAUUUCUUGUACAGUAUUUCAUUUGACCCAAUCUAAAUAGAACAGAUUAAAUAGGUACAAAGUUUUUAAAAGAUAACACACUUGCACUUUAUAAUAAACUAGUAUAAUAUCCGCGCGGUGCGUGGAAAAUUAUUAACACAUAUAAAUUAUUAUAUCAAAGUAUUAAUUGAUUUGUUUAAGCCUGUUAAAUCAUACAUUUUAACAAUGUCAUAAAUGUUGCCUUAUCUCAUUGCAACUAUCCAACGAAUUUUUUUUUAUAUAAUCAAAUCAAAAAGUUAUAUACAGUAACUAUUGUAUAUAUUUUUAAUGAAACUCAAAUGUCAUAAUUAUAUAGUUUGUGCUAUAAAUAAUUUGAAUUGAAUUUAA